Molecule: ribosomal RNA, 254 nt
Filed under: uncultured bacterium
Lineage: Bacteria
Description: partial 16S ribosomal RNA
Rfam family: Bacterial small subunit ribosomal RNA
Source: RNAcentral
UACGUAGGUGGCAAGCGUUGUCCGGAUUUACUGGGCGUAAAGAGCGCGCAGGCGGUCGUCCAAGUCGCGUGUGAAAGCCCCCGGCUCAACUGGGGAGGGUCACGCGAUACUGAUCGACUCGAAGGCAGGAGAGGGUAGUGGAAUUCCCGGUGUAGUGGUGAAAUGACGUAGAUAUCGGGAGGAACACCAGUGGCGAAGGCGACUACCUGGCCUGUUCUUGACGCUGAGGCGCGAAAGCUAGGGGAGCAAACGGG